RNAcentral lists this ribosomal RNA (511 nucleotides) under Panorpa germanica. RNAcentral's name for it is "partial 16S ribosomal RNA". The record is from RNAcentral. Lineage: Eukaryota; Metazoa; Arthropoda; Insecta; Mecoptera; Panorpidae.
AUGUAAGGAUUCAAAGGUCGAACAGACCUAAACUUUGAACUUCUACACCCAAAAAUAACCCUUAAUCCAACAUCGAGGUCGCAAUCUUUUUUGUCGAUAAGAACUCUCAAAAAAAAUUACGCUGUUAUCCCUAAGGUAACUUAGUCUUAUAAUCAGUAAAACUGGAUCAAUUAUUCAAUAAUUUUUGUUUAAAAAUAAAAAGAGUUUUAUAAAUCUUCCUGUCACCCCAACAAAAUAUUUAAUUUAAUAAAAUUUAAAAAUUACUAUAAAUAAAUUAUUAUAUAAAUAUAAAGUUCUAUAGGGUCUUCUCGUCCUUUAAUUAUAUUUAAGCCUUUUAACUCAAAAGUUAAAUUAUAAUUCCAUUUAAAUUGAGACAGUUAACACCUCGUUCAAUCAUUCAUUCUAGCCCUCAAUUAAAAGACUAAUUAUUAUGCUACCUUUGCACGGUCAAAAUACCGCGGCCCUUUAAAAUAUCAGUGGGCAGAUUAGACUUUAAAUUAUUUUCUAAAAG